Molecule: ribosomal RNA, 468 nt
Filed under: uncultured bacterium
Lineage: Bacteria
Description: partial 16S ribosomal RNA
Rfam family: Bacterial small subunit ribosomal RNA
Source: RNAcentral
GACGAACGCUGGCGGCGUGCUUAACACACGCAAGUCGAACGGAAAGGCCCUGCUUUUGUGGGGUGCUCGGGUGGCGAACGGGUGAGUAACACGUGAGUAACCUGCCCUUGACUUUGGGAUAACUUCAGGAAACUGGGGCUAAUACCGGCUAGGAGCUCCUGCUGCAGGGUGGGGGUUGGAAAGUUUCGGCGGUUGGGGAUGGACUCGCGGCUUAUCAGCUUGUUGGUGGGGUGGUGGCUUACCAAGGCUUUGACGGGUAGCCGGCCUGAGAGGGUGACCGGCCACAUUGGGACUGAGAUACGGCCCAGACUCCUACGGGAGGCAGCAGUGGGGAAUAUUGCACAAUGGGCGGAAGCCUGAUGCAGCAACGCCGCGUGCGGGAUGACGGCCUUCGGGUUGUAAACCGCUUUCGCCUGUGACGAAGCGUGAGUGACGGUAAUGGGUAAAGAAGCACCGGCUAACUACGUG